AAUAGUUAGGGAUGGUUAGAGACCCUACUAAUGAUAACCUAGCACUCUGAAGUACCAUGGUCUGAGACCAGGUUGUAAGUUGGGCUGGGGUGGUACAACUGACACAUAAUAUCGCAGGUGUCCUAAGGUCAGCUCAGCGAGGACAGAAACCUCGCGAAGAGCAAAAGGGCAAAAGCCGGCUCGAUCCCGUUGCUCAGUGGACAUAGGGACUGCGAAAUCAAGCGGUGUCAGAAAAGAUGCCACAGGGAUAACUGGCUUGUGGCGGCCAAGCGUUCGUCGCUUGGUGAUCCUUCGAUGUCGGCUCAGUUUUACCAUUCUGAUGACACGUCAUUGCUGUUGUAAUCCUGUUUAGUACGAGAGGAACCGCAGGUUCAUUCAUUCAGUCGGCCGGCAGGUUGUGCGAAGUUACCAUGAGAUUAUGCCUGAACGGUUCAAAGGCAGAUUCCCGAUGAGCAAUAAUGCGCUGUGAGUCUCGUGAGUCGAAAGGCUCAAAAUCAUGCGACCUUAUGCGGCUCGUUUACAGGCCGUUGCAAGACCCAAGUGGAUGAAGCGCCCACUCCGUCUUAGCAAGGUUCACACUUCGGGGAGUGUUGUACUCGGGAGAGCAGUUGCGCCUCGCUAUGAUCUGUUCAGACUCAGCCUUUUCUUGGGGGAUUC
This 657-nucleotide unclassified non-coding RNA is filed under the name Cimex lectularius (bed bug). Its description in RNAcentral is "Eukaryotic large subunit ribosomal RNA". It matches the Rfam family "Eukaryotic large subunit ribosomal RNA", at positions 2523 to 3401 of the family's 3401-position model. The record is from Rfam by way of RNAcentral. Lineage: Eukaryota; Metazoa; Arthropoda; Insecta; Hemiptera; Cimicidae.